Long non-coding RNA from Salvia miltiorrhiza (redroot sage), 644 nucleotides. RefSeq lists it as uncharacterized. The record is from RefSeq and is a predicted model, not a curated record. The transcript is spliced from 3 exons. Lineage: Eukaryota; Viridiplantae; Streptophyta; Magnoliopsida; Lamiales; Lamiaceae.
CUUCGAAGCUUCCAAUAAUACUACUAAACACCUCACAUCACUCUAAAACUCUCCAUAAACACUAUCUAUCCUCAUUUGAUCAAGAAAAUCCUUGAAGAAGAAGCUCCAAAGUAGAGUGAGAAAGUGAGAAAUUUUGGUAAGAACUUGGACACGAGCAGAGCAGGGAAGUAAGUAACUCCGCUUUGACGGGAGUUUUUGAGUAAGGUCUUCAGGCUAAGCGAGGAGCGAGAUUGGUCUGGUGCUGGCGGGGAAUUGUUAAAGGAUGUAUUUACUUUAUCGUAUUUCCAUUUUGACGAUAAAGUCUUGAUAAUUAAUAUACUUUGAUUUUCUUUUGAAUUUAAGCAAUGUACUCACGGUUAUAUGUCUUCAUACAUAUAAUCGGUUCACCUUUUGCUGCGAUACUCUGCAUAUUAUGAUUCCUUACGAAAAAUGAGCGAUACCCGUUUUGUUUUUGUUCGUGAAAUUCCUGAUAAUUAAAAAGUUAUAACGACAUUGACGAUUUUACCCUUGGGUUCAUUUAUAAUGAUUUCUUUAACACCUUUUGAUGCGAGCUUCCGCUUGAUGUUCGACCUAUUCUUCUUAUCUUUUAUUCUUUUAAAAAUAGUCGUAUCGAUACUCGUACCCCACUAUCACUAGUGUCGGGA